UGGGGAAUUUUGGACAAUGGGGGCAACCCUGAUCCAGCAAUGCCGCGUGUGUGAAGAAGGCCUUCGGGUUGUAAAGCACUUUUGGCGGGAACGAAACAGCGCUUGCUAAUACCGAGCGCGAAUGACGGUACCCGCAGAAUAAGCACCGGCUAACUACGUGCCAGCAGCCGCGGUAAGACGUAGGGUGCAAGCGUUAAUCGGAAUUACUGGGCGUAAAGCGUGCGCAGGCGGUUCUGUAAGACAGGUGUGAAAUCCCCGGGCUUAACCUGGGAACUGCACUUGUGACUGCAGAGCUAGAGUGUGUCAGAGGGAGGUGGAAUUCCGCGUGUAGCAGUGAAAUGCGUAGAGAUGCGGAGGAACACCGAUGGCGAAGGCAGCCUCCUGGGAUAACACUGACGCUCAUGCACGAAAGCGUGGGGAGCAAACAGG
RNAcentral lists this ribosomal RNA (429 nucleotides) under uncultured Burkholderiaceae bacterium. RNAcentral's name for it is "bacterial SSU rRNA". It matches the Rfam family "Bacterial small subunit ribosomal RNA", at positions 355 to 776 of the family's 1533-position model. Lineage: Bacteria; Pseudomonadati; Pseudomonadota; Betaproteobacteria; Burkholderiales; Burkholderiaceae. The record is from RNAcentral.